UACAGAGGUGGCAAGCGUUGUUCGGAAUUACUGGGCGUAAAGGGCGCGUAGGCGGCUUCCUCAGUCAGACGUGAAAUCCCUAGGCUUAACCUAGGAACUGCGUCUGAUACUGGGAGGCUCGAGUUCGGGAGAGGGAUGUAGAAUUCCAGGUGUAGCGGUGAAAUGCGUAGAUAUCUGGAGGAAUACCGGUGGCGAAGGCGGCAUCCUGGACCGAAACUGACGCUGAGGCGCGAAAGCUAGGGUAGCAAACGGG
RNAcentral lists this ribosomal RNA (253 nucleotides) under uncultured bacterium. Its description in RNAcentral is "partial 16S ribosomal RNA". It matches the Rfam family "Bacterial small subunit ribosomal RNA", at positions 524 to 776 of the family's 1533-position model. The record is from RNAcentral.